This 876-nucleotide ribosomal RNA is filed under the name Polyporus plorans. RNAcentral describes it as "eukaryotic LSU rRNA". It matches the Rfam family "Eukaryotic large subunit ribosomal RNA", at positions 66 to 915 of the family's 3401-position model. Lineage: Eukaryota; Fungi; Basidiomycota; Agaricomycetes; Polyporales; Polyporaceae. The record is from RNAcentral.
UAACAAGGAUUCCCCUAGUAACUGCGAGUGAAGCGGGAAGAGCUCAAAUUUAAAAUCUGGCGGUCUGUUAGGCCGUCCGAGUUGUAGUCUGGAGAAGUGUUAUCCGCGUCGGACCGUGUACAAGUCUCCUGGAAUGGAGCGUCAUAGAGGGUGAGAAUCCCGUCCAUGGCACGGACGCCCGAUGCUAUGCGAGGCACUCUCGAAGAGUCGAGUUGUUUGGGAAUGCAGCUCAAAAUGGGUGGUAAAUUCCAUCUAAAGCUAAAUAUGGGCGAGAGACCGAUAGCGAACAAGUACCGUGAGGGAAAGAUGAAAAGCACUUUGGAAAGAGAGUUAAAUAGUAUGUGAAAUUGUUGAAAGGGAAACGCUUGGAGUCAGUCGCGUCCCGUAGAACUCAGCCUGGCUUCGGCCUGGUGUAUUUUCUAUGUGGACGGGUCAGCAUCAGUUUUGGACGGUGGAAAAAGGCAGAGGGAAUGUAGCGCCGCUUCGGCGGCGUGUUAUAGCGCUUUGUCAAAUACACUGGCUGGGACUGAGGACUGCAGCACGCCCUUGUGGCCGGGGGGUUCGCCCUCACGUAUCGUGCUUAGGAUGUUGGCAUAAUGGCUUUAAGCGACCCGUCUUGAAACACGGACCAAGGAGUCUAACAUGCUUGCGAGUGUUCGGGUGGUAAACCCUUGCGCGGAAUGAAAGUGAAAGUUGGGAAGCUUCGAGAGGGGCUGCACCGACGCCCGGCCCUGACGUUCUCUGACGGUGCUGCGGUAGAGCAAGUAUGUUGGGACCCGAAAGAUGGUGAACUAUGCCUGAAUAGGGCGAAGCCAGAGGAAACUCUGGUGGAGGCUCGUAGCGAUUCUGACGUGCAAAUCGAUCGUCGAAUUUGGG